UUCAUCGAAACUAAACUUUUAAGUUUAUACUACACGCACUUGUGGCCCUCAUAGGGUACACCUCGGACAAAGAACAUCGCAGCACAUUUGUUCCCUCUACGUGAUCACUACGGCUUGGCGCGCGAAAUUUGAAAUCGAUUAACAGGAGUUAGUGACGGCCAACGAAUUGUCGCUAACGCCGCGAUCACGGUUGCUAUGCCUUUGGAAUUCACUCGAAUCUACGAUUUUCGAACUUGAUUUUUUUUUGAAAUUGCUACAUUCUGUUUGGAUGUAUUGAAGCGCACUUCCCGCAGACAGCAUAAACACGGAGGUGCCAAUUUUGUCGUCGAGGGUGGAACAGGCAAGUGCUUCCUGUCUCGUUGACAUCGACUUUAUUUCGUUUCAGACAUCCAUCCUCGCUUAUGAACACCGCUGUUCCCUUCCUGGGUCCGGAAAGUGGACAAAUGGGUUCAGGGGCGAGAUCGUAAUCAUCAGAAAGUACUCGUUCACUAUGAUUCGGAACGAAUACGCGACGGAGAAGCCAAAGGCCAACGAAGAAGUGUUUACUCCGCAGGGAAGUUAGCGCCCGCGCACCUUAAAUCGAACUAGCACCUGGUUAUCGCGUCUUCCCCAAAUCAGCCAUAAGCAAAUUUGCACUGAAAAUCAUGUUUGCAUUGGUAAUUGUACUGCUUGCAUGGAUAGCUAACUCGAAUGGCAAACGUCGCUCACAUGUCGGCCAAAUGCCGAGUUGAAGUCGGUGACCCUGUGCGUAUACAAUGGCUGCCACAAAGCGAAGGUCAACCCGACCUACAAAACCCACUCAUUUGGGGCUAAUCACGACAUCCCUGACGGUUCCCGUGAAGCAAGAAUUCAAGCAUUAGGCACUGGAUUGUACCAGCUAAGGACGAUGGGAGCUAGGCUUGCACGAGUUUCUCCGAAGACUUCGAACGAAAGCGGAAAAGGGGUGGAAGAACAGCCAAAUACGCUCAGGCUAACCAAAAGCUAAUAGAUAGGUACCAAAUGGCAACACUGGUAUUGCAGGCCGGACACUAAUAAGACGCUGAUGAUAUAAAGAAAGGAAACUUUUUUACUCAAAGAUCUCGAUGGAAGUACGUAUUGACAUGCGGUCAACUGGUGAAGGAAUUGUUCCGGCGACCUUAUGUGCGGUCGUGAUCAUGGCUGCAACAUAUGUAUUCGUGAUAUGAAGGAAACCAAAAAUGGAGUUGUCGAUAGACCAAAAAAGGAGAGUAGAUCUACUUCUCAAGACACAGCUAUUUCCCAUAGCGAUAACCGGUCAAACAGAUGUCAGAAAAAAGGU
Long non-coding RNA from Varroa destructor (honeybee mite), 1297 nucleotides. RefSeq lists it as uncharacterized. The record is from RefSeq and is a predicted model, not a curated record. Lineage: Eukaryota; Metazoa; Arthropoda; Arachnida; Mesostigmata; Varroidae.